This 445-nucleotide ribosomal RNA is filed under the name uncultured bacterium. RNAcentral's name for it is "bacterial SSU rRNA". It matches the Rfam family "Bacterial small subunit ribosomal RNA", at positions 338 to 795 of the family's 1533-position model. The record is from RNAcentral.
CCUANGGGUGGCAGCAGUGGGGAAUAUUGCGCAAUGGGCGAAAGCCUGACGCAGCAACGCCGCGUGAGGGAUGACGGCCUUCGGGUUGUAAACCUCUUUCAGCAGGGAAGAAGCGAAAGUGACGGUACCUGCAGAAGAAGCACCGGCUAACUACGUGCCAGCAGCCGCGGUAAUACGUAGGGUGCAAGCGUUGUCCGGAUUUAUUGGGCGUAAAGAGCUCGUAGGCGGUUAGUCACGUCGGAUGUGAAAACCAGGAGCUUAACUCCUGGCCUGCAUUCGAUACGGGCUGACUAGAGUGUUGUAGGGGAGACUGGAACUCCUGGUGUAGCGGUGAAAUGCGCAGAUAUCAGGAAGAACACCGGUGGCGAAGGCGGGUCUCUGGGCAACUACUGACGCUGAGGAGCGAAAGCGUGGGGAGCAAACAGGAUUAGAUACCCGGNUANUC